GAAGGCAGGCUGGAAGGAAGGCAGGGAGGGAGGAACGCAGGAAGGAAGGGAGAACGGGAGGGAGGAAGGAAGGAAGGAAAGGAAGAGAGUAAAGACUGGAGGGAGGGAGGAAGGCAUGGCGGGAGGGAGGGAGGAAGGCAGGCAGGCAGAGGGGGAGGGAGGGAGGAAGAAAGGAAAGGAAGGGGGGGAGAAUGGGAGGGAGGUAGGUAUGAAGGAAGUGGGGGGAGGAAGGAAGGAAGAGAGGGAGUGAGAGAAAGUGACAGGAAAGCACGAAGGAAGGGAGGAAGGAAGUCAGGAGGGCAGAAUGGAAAGAAGGAAGUAAAGGAAGAGAGAAGGGGGGGGAGGGAGGUAGGUAUGAAGAGAGGGAGUGAGAGAAAGUGACAGGAAAGUACGAAGGAAGGGAGGGAGGAAGUAAAGGAAGAGAGUAAAGACUGGAGGGAGGGAGGAAGGCAGGCAGG
RNAcentral lists this long non-coding RNA (458 nucleotides) under Gallus gallus (chicken). Its description in RNAcentral is "lncRNA (ENSGALG00010022484.1)". The record is from RNAcentral. Lineage: Eukaryota; Metazoa; Chordata; Aves; Galliformes; Phasianidae.